GACGAACGCUGGCGGCGUGCUUAACACAUGCAAGUCGAACGGAAAGGCCCUGCUUUUGUGGGGUGCUCGAGUGGCGAACGGGUGAGUAACACGUGAGUAACCUGCCCUUGACUUUGGGAUAACUUCAGGAAACUGGGGCUAAUACCGGAUAGGAGCUCCUGCUGCAUGGUGUGGGUUGGCAAGUUUCGGCGGUUGGGGAUGGACUCGCGGCUUAUCAGCUUGUUGGUGGGGUAGUGGCUUACCAAGGCUUUGACGGGUAGCCGGCCUGAGAGGGUGACCGGCCACAUUGGGACUGAGAUACGGCCCAGACUCCUACGGGAGGCAGCAGUGGAGAAUAUUGCACAAUGGGCGGAAGCCUGAUGCAGCAACGCCGCGUGCGGGAUGACGGCCUUCGGGUUGUAAACCGCUUUCGCCUGUGACGAAGCGUGAGUGACGGUAAUGGGUAAAGAAGCACCGGCUAACUACGUG
This 468-nucleotide ribosomal RNA is filed under the name uncultured bacterium. RNAcentral's name for it is "partial 16S ribosomal RNA". It matches the Rfam family "Bacterial small subunit ribosomal RNA", at positions 28 to 507 of the family's 1533-position model. The record is from RNAcentral.